GUCUUUUUGAGAAUAAUUUAAAGUCUGUUCUGCCCCCUGAUUAAUUAAUUAAAGGGCUGCAGUAUUUUGACUGUACAAAGGUAGCAUAAUCAAUAGUCUCUUAAUUGGUGACUUGUAUGAAGGAUUUGAUGAAAUAUAAACUGUCUCUUAAUAAAUUGUAAAAUUUAAUUUUUUAGUAAAAAAGCUAAAAUAUUUUUAAAAGACGAGAAGACCCUAUAGAGUUUUAUAAUUAUAAUAAUUUUUAUUUUUUAUAAAAUUUUUAAUUAAAAUUAAAUUAAUUAUUUUAUUGGGGUGAUAGAAAAAUUAAAUAAACUUUUUUUAAAAAAUUUACAUUUAUUUAUGAUUAUAUGAUCCAUUAAUAUUGAUUAUAAGAAAAAAUUACCUUAGGGAUAACAGCGUAAUUUUUUUUUUUAGUUCAAAUAAGAAAAAAAGUUUGCGACCUCGAUGUUGGAUUAAGAUAAAAUUUAAAUGCAAAAGUUUAAAAUUUUUGAUCUGUUCGAUCAUUAAAA
Molecule: ribosomal RNA, 509 nt
Filed under: Eurytides glaucolaus
Lineage: Eukaryota; Metazoa; Arthropoda; Insecta; Lepidoptera; Papilionidae
Description: Protesilaus glaucolaus partial 16S ribosomal RNA
Rfam family: Bacterial large subunit ribosomal RNA (bases 389-509)
Source: RNAcentral